UGUUCUAUGGCCGAACUGGUAAAGGCAUUGCCGAUCACAGGCAAGGUUGCGGGUUCGAAACCAGCUGGAACGG
This 73-nucleotide transfer RNA is filed under the name Operophtera brumata (winter moth). It matches the Rfam family "tRNA". From Rfam's summary of the family: Transfer RNA (tRNA) molecules are approximately 80 nucleotides in length. The record is from Rfam by way of RNAcentral. Lineage: Eukaryota; Metazoa; Arthropoda; Insecta; Lepidoptera; Geometridae.